This 772-nucleotide ribosomal RNA is filed under the name uncultured bacterium. Its description in RNAcentral is "bacterial SSU rRNA". It matches the Rfam family "Bacterial small subunit ribosomal RNA", at positions 8 to 796 of the family's 1533-position model. The record is from RNAcentral.
AGAGUUUGAUCCUGGCUCAGGACGAACGCUGGCGGCGUGCUUAACACAUGCAAGUCGAACGGAAAGGCCCUUCGGGGUACUCGAGUGGCGAACGGGUGAGUAACACGUGGGUGAUCUGCCCUGCACUUUGGGAUAAGCCUGGGAAACUGGGUCUAAUACCGGAUAGGACUACGGCCUGCAUGGGUUGUGGUGGAAAGCUUUUGCGGUGUGGGAUGGGCCCGCGGCCUAUCAGCUUGUUGGUGGGGUGAUGGCCUACCAAGGCGACGACGGGUAGCCGGCCUGAGAGGGUGUCCGGCCACACUGGGACUGAGAUACGGCCCAGACUCCUACGGGAGGCAGCAGUGGGGAAUAUUGCACAAUGGGCGCAAGCCUGAUGCAGCGACGCCGCGUGAGGGAUGACGGCCUUCGGGUUGUAAACCUCUUUCAGUAGGGACGAAGCGCAAGUGACGGUACCUAUAGAAGAAGCACCGGCCAACUACGUGCCAGCAGCCGCGGUAAUACGUAGGGUGCGAGCGUUGUCCGGAAUUACUGGGCGUAAAGAGCUCGUAGGUGGUUUGUCGCGUUGUUCGUGAAAACUCACAGCUCAACUGUGGGCGUGCGGGCGAUACGGGCAGACUGGAGUACUGCAAGGGGAGACUGGAAUUCCUGGUGUAGCGGUGGAAUGCGCAGAUAUCAGGAGGAACACCGGUGGCGAAGGCGGGUCUCUGGGCAGUAACUGACGCUGAGGAGCGAAAGCGUGGGGAGCGAACAGGAUUAGAUACCCCGGUAGUCC